This 83-nucleotide transfer RNA is filed under the name Methanofollis formosanus. It matches the Rfam family "tRNA". Rfam says of the family: Transfer RNA (tRNA) molecules are approximately 80 nucleotides in length. The record is from Rfam by way of RNAcentral. Lineage: Archaea; Methanobacteriati; Methanobacteriota; Methanomicrobia; Methanomicrobiales; Methanomicrobiaceae.
GCGAGAGUAGUGAAGCGGCCAAACACGGGGGACUCAAGAUCCUCUCCCGUAGGGGUUCGUCGGUUCGAAUCCGGCCUCUCGCA